GACGAACGCUGGCGGCGUGCUUAACACAUGCAAGUCGAGCGGUAAGGCCCUUUCGGGGGUACACGAGCGGCGAACGGGUGAGUAACACGUGGGUGACCUGCCCUCAGCUCUGGGAUAAGCCCGGGAAACUGGGUCUAAUACCGGAUAUGACUUCAUGACGCAUGUUGUGGAGUGGAAAGCCUUGUGCGGCUGAGGAUGGGCCCGCGGCCUAUCAGCUUGUUGGUGGGGUGAUGCCUACCAAGGCGACGACGGGUAGCCGGCCUGAGAGGGCGACCGGCCACACUGGGACUGAGAUACGGCCCAGACUCCUACGGGAGGCAGCAGUGGGGAAUCUUGCGCAAUGGGCGAAAGCCUGACGCAGCGACGCCGCGUGAGGGAUGACGG
RNAcentral lists this ribosomal RNA (384 nucleotides) under uncultured bacterium. Its description in RNAcentral is "bacterial SSU rRNA". It matches the Rfam family "Bacterial small subunit ribosomal RNA", at positions 28 to 414 of the family's 1533-position model. The record is from RNAcentral.